RNAcentral lists this unclassified non-coding RNA (378 nucleotides) under uncultured Enterobacteriaceae bacterium. Its description in RNAcentral is "contains 16S-23S intergenic spacer region". The record is from RNAcentral. Lineage: Bacteria; Pseudomonadati; Pseudomonadota; Gammaproteobacteria; Enterobacterales; Enterobacteriaceae.
UCCGGUUUAUCACCGGCAGUCUCCUUUGAGUUCCCACCAUUACGUGCUGGCAACAAAGGAUAAGGGUUGCGCUCGUUGCGGGACUUAACCCAACAUUUCACAACACGAGCUGACGACAGCCAUGCAGCACCUGUCUCACGGUUCCCGAAGGCACUAAGGCAUCUCUGCCGAAUUCCGUGGAUGUCAAGGCCAGGUAAGGUUCUUCGCGUUGCAUCGAAUUAAACCACAUGCUCCACCGCUUGUGCGGGCCCCCGUCAAUUCAUUUGAGUUUUAACCUUGCGGCCGUACUCCCCAGGCGGUCGACUUAACGCGUUAGCUCCGGAAGCCACGCCUCAAGGGCACAACCUCCAAGUCGACAUCGUUUACGGCGUGGACUAC